Molecule: microRNA precursor, 219 nt
Filed under: Medicago truncatula (barrel medic)
Lineage: Eukaryota; Viridiplantae; Streptophyta; Magnoliopsida; Fabales; Fabaceae
Description: MIR2655 microRNA precursor family
Rfam family: MIR2655 microRNA precursor family
Source: Rfam by way of RNAcentral
CCCUUAACUAUUAAAAGUUUCGUUUUGGUCCUUUAACUUACUUUUUGGUUUCGUUUUGAUCCCUUAACUCUUCCUCCGUCAACCACUUUGGUCUUUUAUGUUAGGAUGAAUGUAUUAAAGUUAAGGGACCAAAACGAAACCAAAAAAUAAGUUAAGGGAGCAAAACGAUACUAAAAAUUAAGUUAAGGGACCAAAACGAAACUUUUAAUAGUUAAGGGA